RNAcentral lists this small nucleolar RNA (215 nucleotides) under Sitophilus oryzae (rice weevil). RNAcentral describes it as "small nucleolar RNA U3". It matches the Rfam family "Small nucleolar RNA U3". Rfam says of the family: Small nucleolar RNAs (snoRNAs) are involved in the processing and modification of rRNA in the nucleolus. There are two main classes of snoRNAs: the box C/D class, and the box H/ACA class. The record is from Rfam by way of RNAcentral. Lineage: Eukaryota; Metazoa; Arthropoda; Insecta; Coleoptera; Curculionidae.
AAGAUCAUACUUCACAGGAUCAUUUCUGUAGUAUAUCUUCGCAAUCUCUCUACUCAAAAGUAGAGUUGUCGCAACCAUGAGGAUGAGACACAGUUUCAUCUCCUGAGCGUGAGAUAUGACUUUGACCGACUCUGUAUUGAGUUGGUCAAUGGUCGCCGAUGAUCGUUCAACCUGUCGCUUGCGGUGGGGUAUGGGGAUGAGACAGUCUGAGUGGU